Molecule: long non-coding RNA, 5008 nt
Filed under: Olea europaea (common olive)
Lineage: Eukaryota; Viridiplantae; Streptophyta; Magnoliopsida; Lamiales; Oleaceae
Description: long non-coding RNA (OEUR_LNC009265)
Source: RNAcentral
GAUUUAUAUACAUGAGGUGAAGGAAGAAAAAAGGAAACUAAUCUUCUAAAUUUGGAAGUAAAUUGUUCUACCAAAAAAUACGAGAUUGCAAUCUCUAAUUAAUUCUAAUUACCAUAACUACCUCCUUUACUAUAUUCGGUCCUUUCUACACUCCCCCUCAAGUUGAACUGUAGAUGUUGAUCAUGUUCAACUUGCUGAUAAAGUCGUGGAAUGCUUGUCUGGGCAAUCCUUUUGUGAAUACAUCGGCCGUUUGUUCUUUUGUAGGAGUAUAUGUCAUACAAAUAAUCCCGUUGUCGACCUUUUCUUUGAUGAAAUGUCUGUCAACUUCUAUAUGUUUAGUUCUAUCAUGUUGUACUGGGUUGAGCGAAAUGUUAAUAGCUGCUUUGUUAUCACAAUAGAGUUUAAUUGGAAGUUCUACUUCAACUUUCAAUUCUCCCAAGAGCUUCUUUAUCCAAAGUCCUUCACAUAUUCCUUGUGCAACAGCUCUGAAUUCAGCCUCAGCACUGCUUCUAGCUACCACAUUUUGUUUCUUACUUCUCCAGGUUGUCGUAUUUCCCCAUACAAAGGUGCAGUAGCCGGUAGUAGACCUUCUAUCUUCCGUUGAUCCAGCCCAAUCUGCAUAUGUGAAUAUUUCUACUCCUUUACUCUUAUUUUUCCCGAAGAAUAGACCUCUUCCAGAUGUUCCCUUUAGGUAUCUAAGAAUUUUAUAAACUGCUUCUAGACGAAUUUCUUUGGGAGCCUGCAUAUGUUGACUGACCACACUGACUGCGAAAGCAAUAUCAGGUCUAGUGUGUGAGAGGUAGAUCAAUUUUCCAACUAGUCUUUGAUAUUUGUCCAUUUCCACGGGUUUUCCGGUGUCCUUUAUCACUUUCCCCGCCUCAAUAGGUGUAUCGCUUGGUUUGCACCCCAACAUACCUGUUUCAGCCAACAGGUCAAGAAUGUAUUUUCGUUGGGAAACGCUGAUACCUUUCUUUGAUCUUGCAAUCUCCAUUCCCAAGAAGUAUCGCAUUUGCCCAAGGUCUUUUACCUCAAAUUCAGUUGCUAGGCACUUCUUUAGUCUUUCCAUUUCACCUAUGUUGUCCCCUGUCAAGAUAAUAUCAUCCACAUACACAAUAAGGAUGGUCUUUACUCCUCUGGAUAGAUGAUAGAACAUGGUAUGGUCUGACUGCCCUUGUUGAUAUCCUUGAGUUUUCAAUACCUUUGCAAAUCUAUCGAACCAUGCUCUGGGUGACUGUUUAAGCCCAUAUAAAGAUUUCCUGAGCUUACAUACUCGACUUUCCUCAUUUGAAUUGUUGAAGCCCGAUGGUAUUGUCAUGAAUACUUCUUCUUCUAGUUCCCCAUUGAGAAAUGCGUUUUUAAUGUCCAACUGUUGAAGUGGCCAAUCUAGGUUUACUGCUAAUGACAGAAGAACUCGGAUUGUAUUUAAUUUAGCCACUGGUGCGAAUGUUUCUGUAUAGUCAAUGCCAUAGGUUUGAGUAUACCCUUUGGCAACUAAACGAGCUUUGUAGCGUUCAAUCGUCCCAUCUGCCUUGUACUUCACGUUAAAAACCUAUUUGCACCCUACAGGUUUCUUUCCUUUUGGCAGGUUUACCACUUCCUAAGUUUCAUUUUUCUUUAAGGCUUUCAUUUCCUCCAUCACUGCCUCUCUCCAUUUGGGUGAUUCCAAGGCUUCUUGAAUAUUUUUUGGAAUUUCUGUUUCAUCAAGAUUAGCAGUAAAAGCACGAAAUUCAGUAGAUAGAGCAUUAUAAGACAUGAAUUUUGAGAUAGGAUGUAGAGUACAUGAUCGGGUUUGUUUUCUGAGAGCAAUAGGUAGAUCAUCACUUGGAUCGAGGGGAUUUUCAUCAGUUCCUCUCACCGGUUCGAACUCUUUUGGUGCUUCAGGCAUGAGAGGUUCCUUACACUUCGAUUUAGGCCUUGUUGAGUAAACUAGGGUCUCUUUAUCACUCUCUGUUUUCCUUCAUCUCUCCCUGAAUUCAAGUUAUCUUCUGUGUAUGACACCUUAGAAGGGUUAGGGAACGUGAAAUCAGUUGGGGAAAGUUAUCUUCUGUGUAUGACACCUUAGAAGGGUUAGGGAACGUGAAAUCAGUUGGGGAAAGGUCAAAGUCCAGGAACUCGUUAUUUGAGAACUGAUCUUCACUCAAGUUCUCCCCCUGAAGAGAAGGUUUCAGGAAGUAAGGUGUGUUUUCGAAAAAACUGACAUCAAGGCUAACUAUGACUCUUUUCCCAGAUGAGUCAUAGCAUUUGUACCCUUUUUGAGUAGGUGAGUACCCAAUAAACACACAUUUGAUAGCACGUGGUUCAAGUUUGUUUCAAUUUUGAGAGUGAAUAUGUACAAAUGCAGUGCUGCCAAAUAUUUUUAGAGGUAGGUUUGAACUAAGGCAGGAAGUAGGGAAGUAUUUUUGGAGCCUUUGUAAGGGUGAGUCGAAGGAGAGCGUCCUACUAGGCAACCGGUUAAUUAGGUAAGUAGAUGUUAAAAUGGAAUCCCCCCAGAAUGUUUUUGGCAUGUUCAUAGUAAACAUUAAGGCACGAUCAACUUCUAGUAUGUGUCUAUUUUUCCGUUCAGCAAUCCUAUUUUGUUGGGGGGUAUGGACGCAUGAGCUUUGAUGGACAAUUCCGUGUUUUUUUAGGUAAUCUUGCAAAGUAGCAUUGAAAUAUUCCGUGCCAUUAUCGGUACGGAGGAUUUGAAGUUGUGUUUGAAAUUGUGUCAAUAUCAUGGAGUGGAAGUUCAUAAAGACAGAUCUAACAUCAGUUUUGUCUUUCAAUAAAUAAACCCAACAGACUCGAGUGUGGUCAUCAAUAAAUGUAAUAAACCAUUUUGUUUGGGUACGAUUAGGAGUGCGGGAUGGUCCCCAUAGAUUACUAUGAAUCAUAGCAAAUGGUUUAGAUGGUUUGUACUCAUGUUUUGGAAAAAAUGUACGCUGAUGCUUUGCAAAUUCACAAUUUUCACAUUGAAAGUCAAUAGAUAUUUUAUUCAUGAAAAUUGAAGGACAAAUAUGUUUUAAAUAUUGCAAGCUAGGAUGACCCAUUCUAUUGUGCCAUAACAAAAUUUCACUAUCCUUAGAGGUAGAUGAAGAAUUACAACUUGAAAUUUGACCUAGUGUACUCACGUCAGCUUCGUCGAAGUAGUAAAGUCCCUCGCAUUCCUUAGCACUGCCAAUCGUCUUCCCCGAUGAAAGGUCUGAAAGACACAAUAUGAUGGAAAGAAAUUAACAGAACAAUUGGAUUUUUUUGCUAAUUGACUAACAGAUAACAAGUUACAUGACAAAUUUGGGACAUAAAGGACUGAAUCCAAUGUUAGGGAAUUAGAUAUUCGAAUGUUCCCUUUUCCUGCAACAGAUGAAAGUGAGUCAUCUGCAAUUUUAAUUCGAAUGUUACCAGGACAAGUAGAAUAUGAAGAGAAUAGGUAAUACGAGUCCGUCAUGUGACCGGAUGCACCGGAGUCAAUGAUCCAAGCAUUUUUGUAUCGUAAAGUAUUUAAUGCUCUAAGAAAAGUACCUUUGUGGGCUAGUAAGCUAGAAGGACCUUUAGGGGAAGACUGAUCGGAUGUUUGAAAUUUUGAGAAUAUUUAAUAGAGUUGCUCAGUUGCUCGGGAUUAAAUGCACUACCUGAGACCGGAUUGUUUUUUGUUUCAACUUGAUAACCCCGACUCCUCAUGGUUUGUCUUGAUUUCCAUUCGUUGGGUUUCCCAUUAAUUUCCCAACAUGUGUCUAUUUUAUGGCCCGGCCUACGACAAUGCUCACACCAAGGACGACCCCUUUGUUUUUGGGUCGACCCAUUUGUAGAUCCCUUUGAAAAACUCGAAAUUCCACCUCCAAUUGAAGGUCCAUUAAUAUGCUCAGUUUCUGGCCCAACUGCCGGCCCAAUUAAUUUCCCACGUCCAGGCCCAGACGUUAUACCAUACGGAGGUCCAGCCUUCUUCCCAGCCAAGGCCGAUACUUCACCAGAGGCCUCCUUCAACAUUACCUGCCGGCGAGCCUCCUCACGGCGCACCUCCGAAAACACCUCGCGAGUGGACGGCAGUGGACGACGACCUAGGAUUCGGCCUCUGACUUCAUCCAGUUCUCGAUUCAGACCUGCAAGAAAUUCAUAGACUCGUUCGUUUUCCUGCUUCUUUUUGUAUAACGCGAUAUCAUCAGGGCACUUCCACUCCUCUUCACUGCUUAGGUCGAGAUCUUGCCAGAGAGAUGUCAUGUCCAUGAAGUAUUCAGUGACAUCUCUCGUCCCUUGUUUAGUCUGCCAUAAGCGAGUUUUUAAUUCAAAAAUUUGCAAUGCAUUACCGGCGUCCGAGUAGGUGUCUUUCACGGCGUCCCAUACGUCUUUUGCCAUCGCAAGGAAUAGGUAGGCUUUUCCUAUAGAAGGUUUCAUAGAGUUCACAAGCUAGGCUGUUACCAUGGAAUUUUCAGAGUUCCAACGUUGCAGCAGGGUGGUGUUUGUCGGCCUCUUCGCUUCUCCAGUAAGAUAACCCAUCUUCCCCUUUCCAUCAAUUACUAAUUUUAUCGAUUGGGCCCAUUCGCGGUAGUUUUUUCCAUUCAAUUUUUCGACAGUAAGUUGGAACGAUGAAUUCUCGAAUGAGUUGUGACCAAUUGAGGAAUUGACCUCUGUUUCGGUAUCUGACAUUGUAGAUGCCUGCAUGUUAGCGGGGAAUUCCGCCAUGGUUUGCUAGGUUAGAGAACCAGCUCUGAUACCAUAAAGAAGAUACACACGUGAGAGGAAAUUCUCACUUUUUUUGUAUUCACAAUAUUGAUUACAAUCGAUUUAUAUACAUGAGGUGAAGGAAGAAAAAAGGAAACUAAUCUUCUAAAUUUGGAAGUAAAUUGUUCUACCAAAAAAUACAAGAUUGCAAUCUCUAAUUAAUUCUAAUUACCAUAACUACCCCCUUUACUAUAUUCGGUCCUUUCUACACAAACGAAGGUAGUGAACUGUUGCGUCGAAACUUACUUAAGGUGUUUUACCUAUGACAAACCUCGUAGUUGGUACACAUGGUUGUCUUGGGCAGAAUAUUGGUAUA